Long non-coding RNA from Oncorhynchus keta (chum salmon), 2473 nucleotides. RefSeq lists it as uncharacterized. NCBI's taxonomy places the organism in Eukaryota, Metazoa, Chordata, Actinopteri, Salmoniformes, Salmonidae. The transcript is spliced from 3 exons. The record is from RefSeq and is a predicted model, not a curated record.
ACCAAUCACAGCAGUGUUCUACACUGGAGAGGGAGGUGGUUCAGACCAAUCACAGCAGUGUUCUACCCUGGAGAGGGAGGUGGUUCAGACCAAUCACAGCAGUGUUCUACCCUGGAGAGGGAGGUGGUUCAGACCAAUCACAGCAGUGUUCUACCCUGGAGAGGGAGGUGGUUCAGACCAAUCACAGCAGUGUUCUAUACUGGAGAGGGAGGUGGUUCAGACCAAUCACAGCAGUGUUCUAUACUGGAGAGGGAGGUGGUUCAGACCAAUCACAGCAGUGUUCUACCCUGGAGAGGGAGGUGGUUCAGACCAAUCACAGCAGUGUUCUACCCUGGAGAGGGAGGUGGUUCAGACCAAUCACAGCAGUGUUCUACCCUGGAGAGGGAGGUGGUUCAGACCAAUCACAGCAGUGUUCUACCCUGGAGAGGGAGGUGGUUCAGACCAAUCACAGCAGUGUUCUACACUGGAGAGGGAGGUGGUUCAGACCAAUCACAGCAGUGUUCUACCCUGGAGAGGGAGGUGGUUCAGACCAAUCACAGCAGUGUUCUACCCUGGAGAGGGAGGUGGUUCAGACCAAUCACAGCAGUGUUCUACCCUGGAGAGGGAGGUGGUUCAGACAAGACACUGUACUUCACAUUACAAUACCGUACAUGGAAAGAUUUAUCUGUAUUUUUAGUAAAGGGGAGCUGCUCAGUCACUCCAAGUGUGUCUUAUAUCGUUGCUUAGACCAUGGCCUUGGGGUAAGCAGUUUGUUGUUAGAUAAAGAGGUAAGUCUGUCACGAUGGUGAGUGUGUCUGAAGACCCUCCAGGGUUUGGAGGAAAGCAGAGAGAUUAGAGAGAGAGAAAAGCCUUGGACAAGAGAACAAAAGGACAGGAGAGAGAACAACCAUACAAUACAAUAGCUGACAUCAACUCACAGGGUGAAAACAAUAGAGAGAGAGAGAGAGAGAGAGAGAGAGAGAGAGAGAGAGAGAGGGAGAGGGAGAGAGAGAGGAGGACUAGAAAGAGAAAGAGGGGGAGAGGAGGAUUAGAAAGAGAGGGGGAGAGGAGGAUUAGAAAGAGAGGGGGAGAGGAGGACUAGAAAGAUAGAGAGGGGGAGAGGAGGACUAGAAAGAUAGAGAGGGGGAGAGGAGGACUAGAAAGAUAGAGAGGGGGAGAGGAGGACUAGAAAGAGAAAGAGGGGGAGAGGAGGAUUAGAAAGAGAGGGGGAGAGGAGGAUUAGAAAGAGAAAGGGAAAGAGAGGGGGAGAGGAGGACUAGAAAGAUAGAGAGGGGGAGAGGAGGACUAGAAAGAUAGAGAGGGGGAGAGGAGGACUAGAAAGAGAAAGAGGGGGAGAGGAGGAUUAGAAAGAGAGGGGGAGAGGAGGAUUAGAAAGAGAAAGGGAAAGAGAGGGGGAGAGGAGGACUAGAAAGAGAAAGAGAGGGGGAGAGGAGGACUAGAAAGAUAGAGAGGGGGAGAGGAGGACUAGAAAGAUAGAGAGGGGGAGAGGAGGACUAGAAAGAGAAAGAGGGGGAGAGGAGGAUUAGAAAGAGAGGGAGAGGAGGAUUAGAAAGAGAAAGGGAAAGAGAGGGGGAGAGGAGGACUAGAAAGAGAAAGAGAGGGUGAGAGGAGGACUAGAAAGAGAAAGACAGGGGGAGAGGAGGACUAGAAAGAGAAAGAGAGGGGGAGCGGAGGACUAGAAAGAGAAAGAGAGGGGGAGAGGAGGACUAGAAAGAGAAAGAGAGGGGGAGCGGAGGACUAGAAAGAGAAAGAGAGGGGGAGAGGAGGACUAGAAAGAGAAAGAGAGGGGGAGCGGAGGAUUAGAAAGAGAAAGGGAAAGAGAGGGGGAGAGGAGGACUAGAAAGAGAAAGAGAGGGGGAGAGGAGGACUAGAAAGAGAAAGACAGGGGGAGAGGAGGACUAGAAAGAGAAAGAGAGGGGGAGCGGAGGACUAGAAAGAGAAAGAGAGGGGGAGAGGAGGACUAGAAAGAGAGGGGGAGCGGAGGACUAGAAAGAGAAAGAGAGGGGGAGAGGAGGACUAGAAAGAGAAAGAGAGGGGGAGCGGAGGAUUAGAAAGAGAAAGGGAAAGAGAGGGGGAGAGGAGGAUUAGAAAGAGAAAGGGAAAGAGAGGGGGAGAGGAGGACUAGAAAGAGAAAGAGAGGGGGAGAGGAGGACUAGAAAGAGAAAGACAGGGGGAGAGGAGGACUAGAAAGAGAAAGAGAGGGGGAGCGGAGGACUAGAAAGAGAAAGACAGGGGGAGAGGAGGACUAGAAAGAGAAAGAGAGGGGGAGCGGAGGAAGAGAAAGAGAAAGAGAGGGGGAGCGGAGGAUUAGAAAGAGAAAGAGAGGGGGAGAGGAGUAAUAGAAAGAGAUAGAGAGGGGGAGAGGAGGACUAGAAAGAGAAAGAGAGGGGGAGCGGAGGAUUAGAAAGAGAAAGAGAGGGGGAGCGGAGGACUAGAAAGAGAAAGAGAGGGGGAGAGGAGGACUAGAAAGAGA